Molecule: long non-coding RNA, 763 nt
Organism: Eurytemora carolleeae
Lineage: Eukaryota; Metazoa; Arthropoda; Copepoda; Calanoida; Temoridae
Exons: 4
Source: RefSeq, a predicted model, not a curated record
AAAUUCUUCCGAUGUAUUCGUUAUUAAGUGUUUCACUGUAUAUAAAUUGAUAUAAUGUUUUAAUAAAUUUAUUCCAAGGAUACUUUCAGGCCAGUCAUGCAAUCAAAUUCUACUCUUCACUACAGCUCCUACAGCAAGACAAUUUAUGUUUAUGUCAAAAACAAAAGUGAAGUAAUUUAAAAAAGUGUCAAAAUCUGACAGUGUAGAAAAUCUGUUUAAGAAAAGUAUGAUCUCAGAAGUCUCCUUAAAAAAUGUGGAACCCUGGCGAAUCAUUUACAAACUACCGCGCUUUAAUCUUUAGUUUAAGAUUAGAGGGAGAAAUUGACAAAAUAUAUUUUUCAGUGACCUGAAGAAAAACAAGUGGUUACUUGUAAUUACCAUCACUAGUUGCCAUGUACAAUUAAUUACAUUGUGGUUUAUAACAUACAGUGUUUCCCAAUAAACAUAAGAAUUGAGUGAUGACUUCAAUUUGAGAUGCCCAUGUGAAGCAUAAAGCUACAAUACGUGUUUCGUCAUUUAAGAUUUUUAAAAUGAAAGACAGAGCCAGACGAGCAUUGGUUGUUACACUAAUAGCUUUGAUUGUGUUGGUUUUAAUGUCCUACAGUAGUAUCGGUCUCAGCUACAAUGUUGCAGAAAGAUUUUUUGCUCAGAUGGAUGAAUAUAAAGUAGAUUCAUCAUGUCCCUGUAAACCUAGAAUAGCACGAUCUUUGAAAUAUCUUAAUGGGUCACUUAAACCUGAAGAUAUUAAUUUUGAAAAGGAAAC